GAUGAACGCUGGCGGCGUGCCUAAUACAUGCAAGUCGAGCGAACAGACGAGGGGCUUGCUCCUCUGACGUUAGCGGCGGACGGGUGAGUAACACGUGGAUAACCUACCUAUAAGACUGGGAUAACUUCGGGAAACCGGAGCUAAUACCGGAUAAUAUAUUGAACCGCAUGGUUCAAUAGUGAAAGACGGUUUUGCUGUCACUUAUAGAUGGAUCCGCGCCGCAUUAGCUAGUUGGUAAGGUAACGGCUUACCAAGGCAACGAUGCGUAGCCGACCUGAGAGGGUGAUCGGCCACACUGGAACUGAGACACGGUCCAGACUCCUACGGGAGGCAGCAGUAGGGAAUCUUCCGCAAAGGGCGAAAGCCUGACGGAGCAACGCCGCGUGAGUGAUGAAGGUCUUCGGAUCGUAAAACUCUGUUAUUAGGGAAGAACAAAUGUGUAAGUAACUAUGCACGUCUUGACGGUACCUAAUCAGAAAGCCACGGCUAACUACGUG
This 497-nucleotide ribosomal RNA is filed under the name uncultured bacterium. RNAcentral's name for it is "partial 16S ribosomal RNA". It matches the Rfam family "Bacterial small subunit ribosomal RNA", at positions 28 to 507 of the family's 1533-position model. The record is from RNAcentral.